UCUGUCAGUGACGGUCGGCACCUCUUGCGUCGCGAAUCGGGAGUUGAGACGUAGAUAUCGCAGUGAAGAAUUAACGUUUUCUGGUUCAAAUAAUCAAAGUCUUAUGUUUAAAUUCUUACGUCGAAAGUAACAUUCGAGUCACGUUGCAUCAGUGGCGGUUUUAAUUAACGUAAUAAUCAACGAUAUCUCGGAGGUUUGCGAGUGAAUAAGUGGUAACAAGAAUACUGACGCGUUUGCGAGGAAGCAGUUUCCAUUUCUUUCCAUACAAGCACGCCACCUGGUACGUCUAAGAUCGUGUAAGGACGAGCGAGGACGUGGAAGGAAGAAGGGGAUGAGGAUGCGUGGCGUUGCAGGCUGAACAAUUGUUGCAUCAAGAUCCUUCCGGCGUAUAAGAUUGCAAUUAGAGCUAACAAGAUACUCGGAUACCCGUCGGAUAUCCGGGUAAGUAAAAAUUACUCGGCUAGCCGAGUAUUCUACAGGAUAUCCGUACGCAUGAGAUAGUCGAGAGAUGCGCCCUUUCCAGCCUGCAAAACCUCGACUAUUUCAUGCGUCGGGUAACUCGCGAGAGGUGCCCGUGUGUUCGGGUAAUUCUUCAUCACCCGGGUGUCUCGAGAAAUGAACAGCUCUAGUUGCGUUUACACAGGAACUGCAAAUGUCACAGACGUUCGACGAGCUUGAGGAUGGUUGACUAGGUUGGUGGCCGGGUGUACUCGGUGAGGAUGACCCUUCUUUCUUCAAUUUACACGUGGACGAGGAGAGAUGUAGAAAAUCGACCGAUGGCGGCAGGGAGGCUGGCGCGCGGCUCUUACGCGACGACGGCAGCGUCGACGAAUUGUACGACGACGAGGAGUUCGAGGAUGGUAGUAUUGACGGCGACCGAUCCAACGAGGGAGACUUGGUCGCCUGUAUUGACCGGUUCGAUGGCGACGACAGCCGCAUACACCGUAGAAGGUUGAGUCAAUCAUUGAGCAGACCUUGAGAUACGCUGAUCAGCUGUUCCUUCAGCACGCGGAACGAUGGUCGCACCUCGGGGCAAUGGGCCCAGCAUUUUCGCAUCACCUGCAACCAUCGUCGAGUCAUCGUGAUAAGCGUGCAGACCGAAACCGGCCGACUCGCCAAGCCUUGGGAUUGCUGGAACAGUUUCGAGCACCGACGAUAUGUUGUACGGGAAGCCAAGGCAGGAUCGGGAUCAACGAUAUCCAGGGACCUUUCGGUUCGCUCUCCUACGACAAUUACUUCAUCUGUGCGGCAAUAAAUAGACGAGUGAAACCGAUAUCGCGACCGAUCUACAUCACGCGAUCGUCUGUUCUCGUUUACAAAAUGUAUCGACAUAUUCCUUUCUCCGCUCCGGUGAUCUACUUCUCGAGUAUCCUAUUUUGAAUGUGUAUGCGUACGAUCCGUGGAAAACGGAGACGGGCAGACGAACGAGAAGGAUCGAAGCUGCGCUCGGGCUGUCGCGAGUGCGCAAAUAUCGCAAAGUUCUGGAAAUUUUCACGCGAGAGAAGGACCCCGGUGGUGCAACGAUUUACGCGAACGGCGCCCCCCCCCCCCACCCCCAAACAUCAACCUCAAUUUCGGUAAAUUGCUCGCUGUCGAUCGCCACGGGGACACAUAGGCGGCGGCGCGACGUCCAACGGAGAGGCCCGAGAGUGUACCUGUCGUCGACCUAAUAAGAUACCUGUUCCGCUGCGAGCCACGCUCCGGUCAAACGAAGAACCUGGAGAAGACUUCUUGGUAUCUACGGACCGUCGACGUCGAUCCUCGGACCACCUAACGAAGCAACAACGUCGACGCAAGUUUACCCGAGUCUUAGGAUCCGCAAGAACAAUCGACGUCCGUCCUCCGUCAACAACCUAAAAGCGGUCGUCGAGCUCGUCGAGCACCGAAGACCGAUAGUUCCCCCGUGAAACGAGCAACCCUUCUAAACGGUGCACACGCGGUUUACGUAUCAGAGACGUCGUUCGAUUAACAUUAGAUUGCACUUGGCGAGAGCGUCGGUCCAGGUAGACCGAGGUUCGUUUCAUCCAGGCCGCGUGUAUCGCCGAGCCUCGGGUUUAGGAAUUUACGAUUAAGCCCGUUGUCGAGUCGAAUCGAAUCGAAUCGAAUCGAAUCGCGGCCCGUCGAAAACGCUAUAACCGCGUGCCUCGGGUCUAAUCGAUAGUUCUUGUUUGGAUUUAACGUGCCGCCCUUCCACCCUUUUACCCUUCCUCCCCGCCCCGUCCGACCGCGCAAACGAACCCCGAUGUUUGGCCGUUAGUUUAUUUAUUCGGCCGCGCUCGAACCACUUUCUCGUUCGCGGCUAAUUCGCGACUCCGUGAAUCGAGAUCUAUUAAUUUUCGUCGGCGUCUUCUCGUCGCCGAGGUCUCUCUCUCUCUCUCUCUCUGCUUUCGUUUGUCAAAAUCUCGGCACAAUUUUCGGAGAAGAAAACUCCCAGAAUUGCUGCUCGGAAAUAGUUGAGGAAGAGGACCAGUCUCGUUCGUACAUUCGUGUUAAUAAAUAAAUUCGCGCUCGCGUUCUUCAACGCGGAACUCGUAGAUUCGCUUCUCGUUUAGAGCUUCGUUCUCUCGGGAAGGGAACGUUGCAAGCGGACGCAAAGGAGCGAGGAUCGAGCGCAGCCGAACGAUCGCUAGAUAUUAAGACGAAUUAAUUGUCCAUCGCAGCAACGUGCCGAUGUAAACUAUUAUAGAAAGCAACGCAAUCGCGAAUUGAAUUGCUCCUAUAAAUUAUUUGUCUCGCGCGGCUGUAAGAACGCUCCGCGAACGCGUAGAAUCGGGAUCGUCGAUCAAUCGAUGAUUCGAGUGUUCUUUAAUUAGAAAAUUCUCUUCCGCUGUACUCGGGGAGCAGUGGAUACAGCCAGAGAAACGAGCGAUGCGUCGCGGGCGGCGCUAAUUAGCGGCCGGUCAUUAACAAAACACGGUAACCGUGGAACCGAUGCGGUGGCUUAUCAUUAUUAAUUAUCGUCCGUCAACGACGGAUCCCGGCUCCCUUUUUUUCUGCCCGAUAACGCCGAAACGGUAAACAAAAGGGACGAUAAAAAAGCGCAUCAAAGAAUCCGGUUUACGGUGGAUAAUUCCUCGGGUAAGAACCGCGAUCGAUAAUCGAUCGUUGCCGGCAAUAAUGGUAGCGGGGCACGCCGAUCUAUAUUGUCGUUAAUCACCCGCUAAUUAACGGCACGGUAAUUGCUCGCGAGGCGUCUCGCUCGUGCACGCGCGCUCGCGAGCGUUCGCGAGCGUUCGCGAGCUCAUCUGGCGCGGAAUUAAAAAUUCGAAAAGAACGGACAAACCGAGCGCGAAGUCGAAUUACAAAGAAAUUGUUUUUACGACGAUUAUUCCGGCGGUCCCGCGAACGACGCGACACCGUGAUCAGGAACUAAUUACUUGAGGCUAACGAGCGCGAGCGUCCUCGUUAAUUAUACAGGUGUCGUUAAUUAUUGCCGCGCGCGCGCGCGCGCGCUCGUUAACAUUGUUGCGUUAUCGAAAAGAAACAGGACGGACCAGGGAAGAAACAUUUUACGUGGAAACGCGUCGAUUUGCAACCGGUGCGUAAUUCUGCUCGAUGAUCGACGACGGUUUCGCGAAACACAGACGGUGUUUCGGUCGACGAUCGGGUCCGUCGACGGCCGACGGCCGACGAGAGAUCUGGCAAUUUUCUGAAGCGGACAACGCACAGUUUUUUUUGUUACGCUCGAGCAGUCGUUUCCGCGCGUUCUCUGUAAUCACUAGCUCGAAUUAAAUAUUCCGCAGCUUUUCGUUUCGUUUCGUUUCGUUUCGAAACCGCGGACGCGUUCGAAUCCGGAAAAAUUAGUUAAAAAUCCGUGACGGGGAAGGUUCGCGCGGCGCGUUCGUUUAAUUAAUCUAUGAACGCGUUCGUUAAAAAAUACACCGGAGAAAUUAAUUAAAACCGGAGGGGGACAGAAUGAGAUGAAACGAACGUGUGGCGGCCGACUAAUGAGCCGAGCGAAAUUAUUAAUAUAAUGUACUCUAGCCGUGAAACGAAUAAAGAUAAUUAAUCGUA
Non-coding RNA from Megalopta genalis, 4014 nucleotides. The record is from RefSeq and is a predicted model, not a curated record. Lineage: Eukaryota; Metazoa; Arthropoda; Insecta; Hymenoptera; Halictidae.